AGAAUGCCAAAGAGCAGCAGGAUGGAUCCAGCAUCCUCUCCUGAUAAAAGAGGGCUAGAAGACGGGAGGCUCCGGGAAGUCUACUGGGUGAGUAUUAGUCCACUCUCACAUUGCUAUCAAGAAAUACCUGAUACUGGGUAAUUUAUAGAGAAAAAAGGUUUAAUUGACUCACGGUUCUGCAAGCUGUCCAGGAAGCAUAGCGGCUUCUGACUCUGGGGUGGCCUCAGGAAGCUUCCAAUCAUGGAAGAAGGCAAAGUAGGGGCAGGUAUCUCACAUGGCAGUAGCAGGAGGAAGAGAGCGAGGGGGAGGUGCCACACACUCUUUAACUACCAGAUCUGACAGAUAACUCAUUGUUCCAAGGGCAGGACAAAGGGGAUGCUGCUAAA
This 386-nucleotide long non-coding RNA is filed under the name Homo sapiens (human). RNAcentral's name for it is "HSALNT0334711". The record is from RNAcentral. Lineage: Eukaryota; Metazoa; Chordata; Mammalia; Primates; Hominidae.